Amphiprion ocellaris (clown anemonefish) is the source of this 2211-nucleotide long non-coding RNA. The record is from Ensembl. Lineage: Eukaryota; Metazoa; Chordata; Actinopteri; Pomacentridae.
CUCCCUGUGCAUGCGUGGGUUUUCUCCGGGUACUCCGGCUUCCUCCCACAGUCCAAAAAUAUGCUGAGGUUAAUUGAUUAUUCUAAAUUGCCCGUAGGUGUGAAUGUGAGAGUGCUUGUUUGUCUUUGUAUGUAGCCCUGCGACAGACUGGCGACCUGUCUAGGGUGUCCCCUGCCUUCGCCCGAGUCAGCUGGGAUAGGCUCCAGCCCCCCCGCGACCCUAGUGAGGAUUAAGCGGUGUAUAGAUAAUGGAUGGAUGGAAUUGCUUGUCAAAACACAACUCGCUGUUCCAAAGUACAGCCAGAUUUCUAGCUGCUGGUUAGAGAUUUGUAGAGCGAGAACCAAGACUAGAGGAAGCUGAAAGACAUCCUAAUCGAGGUCCAUGGGAAGUUUACACCCAAUAUUAAAAAUGGCAAUUUGAAAGAAUGGUUUUAUACUGUUCAAAAAUUUGAGGUCACCCAGACAAUAUCCUGUUUUCCAUUAAAACUCACACUUUCAUUCAUGUGCUAACAGAAUUUCACAAGGGUUUCUAAUCAUCAGUUAGCCUUUCAACACCAUUAGCUAACACAAUGUAGCAUUAGAACACAGGAGUGAUGGUUGCUGGAAAUGUUCCUCUGUACCCCAUGAAGAUAUUCCAUUAAAAAUCAGCUGUUUCCGGCUAGAAUAGUCAUUUACCACAUUAACAAUAUCUAGACUGUUUUUCUGGUUUAUUUAUUGUGAUCUUCAUUGGAAAAAAUUUCUAAAUGACCCCAAACUUUUAAAUGGUAAUGUAUUUCUGACUUGUUUCUCAUGGCUCGUCUUUUCUCUUUCUGUUCUCUGUGGCUUGCUUGCAAACAGCAGCAGGGUUGACUGAUUUCCAGGAAUCUGUCAUUACCUUUCGACUGGCAGGCUGAAACUUAUAAAUAAUUAUCAGUUGGUGCGGCCAGAGCAAGUGAAAGCAAAAAUAUGAGAGAUUGGUUUUUGUUUGAGGGAAAUUAUGCUUACCUGUAUGUAAACGUCGGCUAAUGCAUCAAUGACAACAAAAAAAUUGUUAACUUGUUUUUCUUACCCACAGCUAAGAGUAGUUUCUGUACGUCACACACAAUGGAUGAUCAAAGAGAAUCAAAUGUUUGAAACCUUUAUCAUUCUGCUUCUGUUCAAUUCUACUAUUGUGAUCGUUGUUCAUUUUGGUCAAUAUCAGUGUACAUAUGAAUAUAUAAUCAUAUUCAGCAUCUGACCCAAUGUCUAGCAACUGUUUCACUCCAGUUUACUCCCCCCUCCACCUUCUUUAAGUUUCAUUUCUCCUCUGCAUAUCCAGGCUGUUUAUUUCUAAACUACUUUCACCAGGAAACUCCCUCAGUCUGACAAGCUGUGUAACCUUUCACUUUAUCAAUCAUUCCCUGCUGCUCACCUGAGAGAGAGGAUCUCCUUGAAGUUCUAAAGCCAGUGAAUCCUCCAGGAUGCCCAGCCUGUGGAUAUGGUUGAGUCUGCUCUAUGCUCUACAAAGCAGUGUCUCAUCAGAUGAGGGAGUGUCACUGAAUUGCAACAAUACAGUGGAAGUUAAAGCUGGAGAAACUGUGACACUGAAUUGCACCAUCGAGCUGAAAGAAGGUCAACAGAACUGUGGCGUUCUAACAGUUAACUGGACGUCUACAAAUGACAAGAAUCUAUGUACCAAUGCCUCAUUGGUACAUAGAUACUCAUGUAUGUCGGAUAAUGAGACUUAUGUGGCGCUGACCAUCACAAAUGUCACGAAAGAGGAAGAUAUCACAGUUAAAAUGCGUGCAAAAUGUGGUAUGGAUGACUCACCUAUCAAAGUAAAGCUCACUGGAAUGUCACCAAUUUGCAACAGUACAGCAGAAGUUAAAGCUGUCGAAACUGUGACACCGAAUUGCACCAUCAAAGGGCAAUCAAAUCAACAGAACUGUGAAAGCAACACAUUGCACUCUAAGGAGGAUCAGGAGCGCAGGGAGGAAGAUAUAAAGUUAGCUCUGUCUGUCAUAUUUGGUGUUUUUGCCGCUGCCAUUGUUGUAGUCAUGUUGUAUUUAUUAUUUAAAACUGACCGAUGCAGAAAAAUCAUUAAGCCUGCCGAUGACCGUGGAAGUUAUUCCUCAACACCACAAGCUUAGUGGCCUCAUGUUUCUAAAAAUCUUCUAAUUUGUGUGUUUGUUGUUUUGUUUUGUUUAGUUUUUUUUUUUUACCUUUUCUGUGACAUUUUUAGAAUUCUUUUGAC